This 440-nucleotide ribosomal RNA is filed under the name uncultured bacterium. Its description in RNAcentral is "partial 16S ribosomal RNA". It matches the Rfam family "Bacterial small subunit ribosomal RNA", at positions 338 to 795 of the family's 1533-position model. The record is from RNAcentral.
CCUACGGGUGGCAGCAGUGGGGGAUAUUGCACAAUGGGCGGAAGCCUGAUGCAGCGACGCCGCGUGAGCGAUGGAGUACUUCGGUAUGUAAAACUCUGUUAGCAGGGAAGAAAAAGACGGUACCUGACUAAGAAUCCCCGGCGAAUUACGUGCCAGCAAGCCCGGUAAUACGGCUGGGGCAAGGGUUGUCCGGAUUUACUGGGGGUAAAGGGAGCGGAGGCGGCUGGGCAAGACUGAUGUGAAAGCCCUGGGUUCAACCCCGGGUCGGCAGUGGAAACUGCCCGGCUGGAGUGCCGGAGGGGCAGGUGGAAUUCCUUGUGUAGCGGUGAAAUGCGUAGAUAUAAGGAGGAACACCAGUGGCGAAGGCGGCCUGCUGGACGGUGACUGACGCUGAGGCUCGAAAGCGUGGGGAGCAAACAGGAUUAGAUACCCUAGUAGUC